GACGAACGCUGGCGGCGUGCCUAAUACAUGCAAGUUGAACGCUGAAGAGUGGGGCUUGCACUAAUUUGAAGAGCUGCGAACGGGUGAGUAACGCGUGGGCAACCUGCCUUUGAGCGGGGGACAACAUUUGGAAACGAUUGCUAAUACCGCAUAACAACUUUAAACAUAUUUCAUACAUUUGAAAGGUGCAAUUGCAUCACUCAAAGAUGGUCCCGCGUUGUCUUAGCUAGUUGGUGAGGUAAAGGCUCACCUAGGCGAUGAUACAUAGCCGACCUGAGAGGGUGAUCGGGCACAGUGGAACUGAGACACGGCCCAGACGUCUCCGGAAGGCAGCAGUAGGGAAUCUUCGGCAAUGGACGUAAAUCUGAUCGCGCGACGACGCGUGAGGGAAGAAGGUUGUCGGAUCGAAAAGAACAGUUGGUAGUGAAGAACAUUAGUGAGAGUGGAACGCUCAAGCGGUGACGGUAACUAACCAGAAAGGGACGGCUAACUACGUG
Molecule: ribosomal RNA, 497 nt
Filed under: uncultured bacterium
Lineage: Bacteria
Description: partial 16S ribosomal RNA
Rfam family: Bacterial small subunit ribosomal RNA
Source: RNAcentral